RNAcentral lists this ribosomal RNA (3025 nucleotides) under Staphylococcus aureus. RNAcentral describes it as "23S ribosomal RNA". It matches the Rfam family "Bacterial large subunit ribosomal RNA". Lineage: Bacteria; Bacillati; Bacillota; Bacilli; Caryophanales; Staphylococcaceae. The record is from RNAcentral.
AGAUUAAGUUAUUAAGGGCGCACGGUGGAUGCCUUGGCACUAGAAGCCGAUGAAGGACGUUACUAACGACGAUAUGCUUUGGGGAGCUGUAAGUAAGCUUUGAUCCAGAGAUUUCCGAAUGGGGAAACCCAGCAUGAGUUAUGUCAUGUUAUCGAUAUGUGAAUACAUAGCAUAUCAGAAGGCACACCCGGAGAACUGAAACAUCUUAGUACCCGGAGGAAGAGAAAGAAAAUUCGAUUCCCUUAGUAGCGGCGAGCGAAACGGGAAGAGCCCAAACCAACAAGCUUGCUUGUUGGGGUUGUAGGACACUCUAUACGGAGUUACAAAGGACGACAUUAGACGAAUCAUCUGGAAAGAUGAAUCAAAGAAGGUAAUAAUCCUGUAGUCGAAAAUGUUGUCUCUCUUGAGUGGAUCCUGAGUACGACGGAGCACGUGAAAUUCCGUCGGAAUCUGGGAGGACCAUCUCCUAAGGCUAAAUACUCUCUAGUGACCGAUAGUGAACCAGUACCGUGAGGGAAAGGUGAAAAGCACCCCGGAAGGGGAGUGAAAUAGAACCUGAAACCGUGUGCUUACAAGUAGUCAGAGCCCGUUAAUGGGUGAUGGCGUGCCUUUUGUAGAAUGAACCGGCGAGUUACGAUUUGAUGCAAGGUUAAGCAGUAAAUGUGGAGCCGUAGCGAAAGCGAGUCUGAAUAGGGCGUUUAGUAUUUGGUCGUAGACCCGAAACCAGGUGAUCUACCCUUGGUCAGGUUGAAGUUCAGGUAACACUGAAUGGAGGACCGAACCGACUUACGUUGAAAAGUGAGCGGAUGAACUGAGGGUAGCGGAGAAAUUCCAAUCGAACCUGGAGAUAGCUGGUUCUCUCCGAAAUAGCUUUAGGGCUAGCCUCAAGUGAUGAUUAUUGGAGGUAGAGCACUGUUUGGACGAGGGGCCCCUCUCGGGUUACCGAAUUCAGACAAACUCCGAAUGCCAAUUAAUUUAACUUGGGAGUCAGAACAUGGGUGAUAAGGUCCGUGUUCGAAAGGGAAACAGCCCAGACCACCAGCUAAGGUCCCAAAAUAUAUGUUAAGUGGAAAAGGAUGUGGCGUUGCCCAGACAACUAGGAUGUUGGCUUAGAAGCAGCCAUCAUUUAAAGAGUGCGUAAUAGCUCACUAGUCGAGUGACACUGCGCCGAAAAUGUACCGGGGCUAAACAUAUUACCGAAGCUGUGGAUUGUCCUUUGGACAAUGGUAGGAGAGCGUUCUAAGGGCGUUGAAGCAUGAUCGUAAGAACAUGUNNNNNNNNNNNNNNNNNNNNNNNNNNNNNNNNNNNNNNNNNNNNNNNNNNNNNNNNNNNNNNNNNNNNNNNNNNNNNNNNNNNNNNCGUNAGGACAUGUGGAGCGCUUAGAAGUGAGAAUGCCGGUGUGAGUAGCGAAAGACGGGUGAGAAUCCCGUCCACCGAUUGACUAAGGUUUCCAGAGGAAGGCUCGUCCGCUCUGGGUUAGUCGGGUCCUAAGCUGAGGCCGACAGGCGUAGGCGAUGGAUAACAGGUUGAUAUUCCUGUACCACCUAUAAUCGUUUUAAUCGAUGGGGGGACGCAGUAGGAUAGGCGAAGCGUGCGAUUGGAUUGCACGUCUAAGCAGUAAGGCUGAGUAUUAGGCAAAUCCGGUACUCGUUAAGGCUGAGCUGUGAUGGGGAGAAGACAUUGUGUCUUCGAGUCGUUGAUUUCACACUGCCGAGAAAAGCCUCUAGAUAGAAAAUAGGUGCCCGUACCGCAAACCGACACAGGUAGUCAAGAUGAGAAUUCUAAGGUGAGCGAGCGAACUCUCGUUAAGGAACUCGGCAAAAUGACCCCGUAACUUCGGGAGAAGGGGUGCUCUUUAGGGUUAACGCCCAGAAGAGCCGCAGUGAAUAGGCCCAAGCGACUGUUUAUCAAAAACACAGGUCUCUGCUAAACCGUAAGGUGAUGUAUAGGGGCUGACGCCUGCCCGGUGCUGGAAGGUUAAGAGGAGUGGUUAGCUUCUGCGAAGCUACGAAUCGAAGCCCCAGUAAACGGCGGCCGUAACUAUAACGGUCCUAAGGUAGCGAAAUUCCUUGUCGGGUAAGUUCCGACCCGCACGAAAGGCGUAACGAUUUGGGCACUGUCUCAACGAGAGACUCGGUGAAAUCAUAGUACCUGUGAAGAUGCAGGUUACCCGCGACAGGACGGAAAGACCCCGUGGAGCUUUACUGUAGCCUGAUAUUGAAAUUCGGCACAGCUUGUACAGGAUAGGUAGGAGCCUUUGAAACGUGAGCGCUAGCUUACGUGGAGGCGCUGGUGGGAUACUACCCUAGCUGUGUUGGCUUUCUAACCCGCACCACUUAUCGUGGUGGGAGACAGUGUCAGGCGGGCAGUUUGACUGGGGCGGUCGCCUCCUAAAAGGUAACGGAGGCGCUCAAAGGUUCCCUCAGAAUGGUUGGAAAUCAUUCAUAGAGUGUAAAGGCAUAAGGGAGCUUGACUGCGAGACCUACAAGUCGAGCAGGGUCGAAAGACGGACUUAGUGAUCCGGUGGUUCCGCAUGGAAGGGCCAUCGCUCAACGGAUAAAAGCUACCCCGGGGAUAACAGGCUUAUCUCCCCCAAGAGUUCACAUCGACGGGGAGGUUUGGCACCUCGAUGUCGGCUCAUCGCAUCCUGGGGCUGUAGUCGGUCCCAAGGGUUGGGCUGUUCGCCCAUUAAAGCGGUACGCGAGCUGGGUUCAGAACGUCGUGAGACAGUUCGGUCCCUAUCCGUCGUGGGCGUAGGAAAUUUGAGAGGAGCUGUCCUUAGUACGAGAGGACCGGGAUGGACAUACCUCUGGUGUACCAGUUGUCGUGCCAACGGCAUAGCUGGGUAGCUAUGUGUGGACGGGAUAAGUGCUGAAAGCAUCUAAGCAUGAAGCCCCCCUCAAGAUGAGAUUUCCCAACUUCGGUUAUAAGAUCCCUCAAAGAUGAUGAGGUUAAUAGGUUCGAGGUGGAAGCAUGGUGACAUGUGGAGCUGACGAAUACUAAUCGAUCGAAGACUUAAUCAAAA